AGUGAACAAUAGGUCUUGUAGAUAGAGCACCUGUAGUGAACAAUAGGUCAUUGUAGAUAAAGCACCUGUAGUGAGCAAUAGUGAGUGAGUGAGUUUGGUUUUACGCCGCUUUUAGCA
This is a long non-coding RNA of Haliotis rubra (blacklip abalone), 117 nucleotides long. RefSeq lists it as uncharacterized. The transcript has 3 exons. The record is from RefSeq and is a predicted model, not a curated record. Lineage: Eukaryota; Metazoa; Mollusca; Gastropoda; Lepetellida; Haliotidae.